CACUCCUGCGGGAGGCAGCAGUGGGGAAUUUUGGACAAUGGGGGCAACCCUGAUCCAGCAAUGCCGCGUGAGUGAAGAAGGCCUUCGGGUUGUAAAGCUCUUUUGUCAGGGAAGAAACGGUGGUGGCGAAUAACUACUACUAAUGACGGUACCUGAAGAAUAAGCACCGGCUAACUACGUGCCAGCAGCCGCGGUAAUACGUAGGGUGCAAGCGUUAAUCGGAAUUACUGGGCGUAAAGCGUGCGCAGGCGGUUGUGUAAGUCAGAUGUGAAAUCCCCGGGCUCAACCUGGGAAUUGCAUUUGAGACUGCACGGCUAGAGUGUGUCAGAGGGGGGUAGAAUUCCACGUGUAGCAGUGAAAUGCGUAGAUAUGUGGAGGAAUACCGAUGGCGAAGGCAGCCCCCUGGGAUAACACUGACGCUCAUGCACGAAAGCGUGGGGAGCAAACAGGAUUAGAAACCCGUGUAGUCC
Molecule: ribosomal RNA, 470 nt
Filed under: uncultured organism
Description: partial 16S ribosomal RNA
Rfam family: Bacterial small subunit ribosomal RNA
Source: RNAcentral